AGAUAGUCUUUUCCCACCCCAGGCGGUGAACUGGAGGCCAGCACAGAGCUGACAUGGGAGCCAGACAGCAGAGCUGAUGUGGGGGCUGGCACAGAGCUGAUGUGGGGCCAGCACAGAUCCUUCUGGCAGGGACAACUCGCUGGGCCCAUGUCUAGCAGGGGAACAGUCAAAGCUUGCUCACCUUGCUGCAGAAUGACCUGAACAGUGACCUUGGAGACCACCAUCCUGAGGGAGGAAAGGAGUUCGUGCCUUGCUGCUACAUUUAAAUGGCUGCAAAGGUAAAUACGUCUGUUACUGCAUACAUCCAUAAUGCACAUAUGACAGCACGCAGUUGGAAAACACAAAGAGAGGUAACAACAAACAAGAAAAGACAUCUCCGAGCUCCUAAACCCAGGCACUCUGCUCCUCUUUGAUCUCCAUGGCUCAGGCUGUAGCUUUUCAGGACAUCUGUAGAUUAAAACUGCUUCUAAAAGUACUUCAGGAUCCACCAAGGAUUUAUUUUCUGGCAGACUGUUAUGUCGUUGCUACCAGAGAC
This is a long non-coding RNA of Gallus gallus (chicken), 535 nucleotides long. NCBI's taxonomy places the organism in Eukaryota, Metazoa, Chordata, Aves, Galliformes, Phasianidae. The record is from Ensembl.